RNAcentral lists this ribosomal RNA (232 nucleotides) under uncultured bacterium. RNAcentral describes it as "partial 16S ribosomal RNA". It matches the Rfam family "Bacterial small subunit ribosomal RNA", at positions 99 to 334 of the family's 1533-position model. The record is from RNAcentral.
CGGACGGGUGAGUAAUGUCUGGGAAACUGCCUGAUGGAGGGGGAUAACUACUGGAAACGGUAGCUAAUACCGCAUAACGUCGCAAGACCAAAGAGGGGGACCUUCGGGCCUCUUGCCAUCGGAUGUGCCCAGAUGGGAUUAGCUAGUAGGUGGGGUAAAGGCUCACCUAGGCGACGAUCCCUAGCUGGUCUGAGAGGAUGACCAGCCACACUGGAACUGAGACACGGUCCAG